GAUGAACGCUGGCGGCGUACCUAAUACAUGCAAGUCGAGCGAACGGACGAGAAGCUUGCUUCUCUGAUGUUAGCGGCGGACGGGUGAGUAACACGUGGAUAACCUACCUAUAAGACUGGGAUAACUUCGGGAAACCGGAGCUAAUACCGGAUAAUAUUUUGAACCGCAUGGUUCAAAAGUGAAAGACGGUCUUGCUGUCACUUAUAGAUGGAUCCGCGCUGCAUUAGCUAGUUGGUAAGGUAACGGCUUACCAAGGCAACGAUGCAUAGCCGACCUGAGAGGGUGAUCGGCCACACUGGAACUGAGACACGGUCCAGACUCCUACGGGAGGCAGCAGUAGGGAAUCUUCCGCAAUGGGCGAAAGCCUGACGGAGCAACGCCGCGUGAGUGAUGAAGGUCUUCGGAUCGUAAAACUCUGUUAUUAGGGAAGAACAUAUGUGUAAGUAACUGUGCACAUCUUGACGGUACCUAAUCAGAAAGCCACGGCUAACUACGUGCCAGCAGCCGCGGUAAUACGUAGGUGGCAAGCGUUAUCCGGAAUUAUUGGGCGUAAAGCGCGCGUAGGCGGUUUUUUAAGUCUGAUGUGAAAGCCCCACGGCUCAACCGUGGAGGGUCAUUGGAAACUGGAAAACUUGAGUGCAGAAGAGGAAAGUGGAAUUCCAUGUGUAGCGGUGAAAUGCGCAGAGAUAUGGAGGAACACCAGUGGCGAAGGCGACUUUCUGGUCUGUAACUGACGCUGAUGUGCGAAAGCGUGGGGAUCAAACAGGAUUAGAUACCCUGGUAGUCCACGCCGUAAACGAUGAGUGCUAAGUGUUAGGGGGUUUCCGCCCCUUAGUGCUGCAGCUAACGCAUUAAGCACUCCGCCUGGGGAGUACGACCGCAAGGUUGAAACUCAAAGGAAUUGACGGGGACCCGCACAAGCGGUGGAGCAUGUGGUUUAAUUCGAAGCAACGCGAAGAACCUUACCAAAUCUUGACAUCCUUUGACAACUCUAGAGAUAGAGCCUUCCUCUUCGGGGGACAAAGUGACAGGUGGUGCAUGGUUGUCGUCAGCUCGUGUCGUGAGAUGUUGGGUUAAGUCCCGCAACGAGCGCAACCCUUAAGCUUAGUUGCCAUCAUUAAGUUGGGCACUCUAAGUUGACUGCCGGUGACAAACCGGAGGAAGGUGGGGAUGACGUCAAAUCAUCAUGCCCCUUAUGAUCUGGGCUACACACGUGCUACAAUGGACAAUACAAAGGGCAGCGAAACCGCGAGGUCAAGCAAAUCCCAUAAAGUUGUUCUCAGUUCGGAUUGUAGUCUUCAACUCGACUACAUGAAGCUGGAACCGCUAGUAAUCGUAGAUCAGCAUGCUACGGUGAAUACGUUCCCGGGUCU
RNAcentral lists this ribosomal RNA (1373 nucleotides) under uncultured bacterium. RNAcentral describes it as "bacterial SSU rRNA". It matches the Rfam family "Bacterial small subunit ribosomal RNA", at positions 28 to 1381 of the family's 1533-position model. The record is from RNAcentral.